This 83-nucleotide transfer RNA is filed under the name Methanospirillum hungatei. It matches the Rfam family "tRNA". Rfam says of the family: Transfer RNA (tRNA) molecules are approximately 80 nucleotides in length. The record is from RNAcentral. Lineage: Archaea; Methanobacteriati; Methanobacteriota; Methanomicrobia; Methanomicrobiales; Methanospirillaceae. RNAcentral also lists the same sequence under 4 other names.
GCCGAGGUAGUCUAGUCCGGGAAGGCGGUGGUCUUGAAAACCACUGGUGUUUCACCUCAAGAGUUCAAAUCUCUUCCUCGGCG